RNAcentral lists this ribosomal RNA (655 nucleotides) under uncultured bacterium. RNAcentral's name for it is "SSU rRNA". It matches the Rfam family "Bacterial small subunit ribosomal RNA", at positions 245 to 915 of the family's 1533-position model. The record is from RNAcentral.
CUAGUUGGUAGGGUAAGAGCCUACCAAGGCUGCGAUCGGUAGCUGGUCUGAGAGGACGAUCAGCCACACUGGGAUUGAGAACGGCCCAGACUCCUACGGGGGGCAGCAGUGAGGAAUUUUCGGCAAUGGGGGCAACCCUGACCGAGCAACGCCGCGUGCAGGACGAAGGUCUUCGGAUCGUAAACUGCUUUUCUCUGGGAAGAGCAAAGGACGGUACCAGAGGAAGAAGCCCCGGCUAACUACGUGCCAGCAGCCGCGGUAAUACGUAGGGGGCGAGCGUUGUCCGGAGUUACUGGGCGUAAAGGGCAUGUAGGCGGUCCGAUCAGUUUGGGGUUACAGCUCCCGGCUCAACUGGGAGAGCGCCUCGAAGACGGUGGGACUUGAGAGCCAGAGAGGGACACAGAAUUCCGGGUGUAGUGGUGAAAUGCGUAGAUAUCCGGAGGAAUACCAAAGGCGAAGGCAGUGUCCUGGCUGAUUUCUGACGCUGAGGUGCGAAAGCUAGGGGAGCGAACGGGAUUAGAUACCCCGGUAGUCCUAGCCGUAAACGAUGACCACUAGGUGUGCGGGGUAUCGACCCCCUGCGUGCCGCAGCUAACGUGAUAAGUGGUCCGCCUGGGGAGUACGGUCGCAAGAUUAAAACUCAAAGGAAUUGACG